RNAcentral lists this transfer RNA (72 nucleotides) under Planctomycetota bacterium. Its description in RNAcentral is "Planctomycetes bacterium (sediment metagenome) tRNA-Phe". It matches the Rfam family "tRNA". Rfam says of the family: Transfer RNA (tRNA) molecules are approximately 80 nucleotides in length. Their secondary structure includes four short double-helical elements and three loops (D, anti-codon, and T loops). Further hydrogen bonds mediate the characteristic L-shaped molecular structure. tRNAs have two regions of fundamental functional importance: the anti-codon, which is responsible for specific mRNA codon recognition, and the 3' end, to which the tRNAs corresponding amino acid is attached (by aminoacyl-tRNA synthetases). tRNAs cope with the degeneracy of the genetic code in two manners: having more than one tRNA (with a specific anti-codon) for a particular amino acid; and 'wobble' base-pairing, i.e. permitting non-standard base-pairing at the 3rd anti-codon position. The record is from RNAcentral. Lineage: Bacteria; Pseudomonadati; Planctomycetota.
GGGCUGGUAGCUGAGACGGCGUAGCGCCUGGCUGAAGACCAGGAGACGAGGGUUCGAACACCUCCCGGCCCA